ACUCCUACGGGAGGCAGCAGUAGGGAAUCUUCCGCAAUGGACGAAAGUCUGACGGAGCAACGCCGCGUGAGUGACGAAGGUUUUCGGAUCGUAAAACUCUGUUGUGAGGGAAGAACAAGUACCAAGUAACUACUGGUACCUUGACGGUACCUCACCAGAAAGCCACGGCUAACUACGUGCCAGCAGCCGCGGUAAU
Molecule: ribosomal RNA, 196 nt
Filed under: uncultured bacterium
Lineage: Bacteria
Description: partial 16S ribosomal RNA
Rfam family: Bacterial small subunit ribosomal RNA
Source: RNAcentral